AAAAAUAUAAGACAUUUUAUUUGCUAACAAUUGACUUAUCAGAAAGGUAAUCAGUACAGAAAUGCUAUAUGUUUUGAAGCUUAAUUCUUCUGCAGUAAUGGAACUGGUGUUCUGUUGACAUUAACAAUCAAACUUUUCAGAUGAAGAGGCAAUGGUUAGGAUGACUAAGAGGAGUUUCAGACCCAUGUACACCUCAAAUCUCAGAAUGAUGGCUGGGUUGGGUAGUGUGAGGUUGGAGGAGCUAUAGACAAAUGUUUCUUUUUAAAAAAGGAUACUAAGAAGGCAAGUCAUGAUGUUGCCCUUACUCUGAUACAUUUCAGUGUAGAGGGUUUUUUUGGUUUGUUUUUUUCUUUUCAUUUCUAGAUUUCUUUUCAACCAGUUUUCAGGCAACAUUUUCUCACCAAGAAAGACCUCAUUAAAGCUCUUGUGGAGAAUAUAGAUAUGGACACAAGCCUCAUUUUGGAAUAUUGCAGCACAUUUCAGUUGGACUGCGAUGCAGUUCUUCAGCUCUUCAUUGAAACGCUGCUCCACAACACAAAUGCCGGCCAAGGCCAGGGAGAUGCAAGCAUGGACUCUGCAAAGCGGCGGCAUCCCAAACUCCUGGCCAAAGCCCUUGAGAUGGUUCCUUUACUGACGAGCACAAAAGAUUUGGUCAUCAGUCUUAGUGGAAUACUACAUAAGGUGAUUUAAAUAACCUCUCCUGCUGUCGAAGAGUAUGAAGUCACGACAGAACUAAUUGUGAAGAAUUAAGGCAACAUUUGCCAUGUAGGAAGUGGAAAAGG
This 782-nucleotide small RNA is filed under the name Pan troglodytes (chimpanzee). Its description in RNAcentral is "processed transcript". The record is from RNAcentral. Lineage: Eukaryota; Metazoa; Chordata; Mammalia; Primates; Hominidae.